GUGGGGAAUCUUAGACAAUGGGGGAAACCCUGAUCUAGCCAUGCCGCGUGAGCGAUGAAGGCCUUAGGGUUGUAAAGCUCUUUCAGCUGGGAAGAUAAUGACUGUACCAGCAGAAGAAGCCCCGGCUAACUCCGUGCCAGCAGCCGCGGUAAUACGGAGGGGGCUAGCGUUGUUCGGAAUUACUGGGCGUAAAGCGCACGUAGGCGGACCGGAAAGUCAGGGGUGAAAUCCCAGGGCUCAACCUUGGAACUGCCUUUGAAACUCCUGGUCUUGAGGUCGAGAGAGGUGAGUGGAAUUCCGAGUGUAGAGGUGAAAUUCGUAGAUAUUCGGAGGAACACCAGUGGCGAAGGCGGCUCACUGACUCGAUACUGACGCUGAGGUGCGAAAGCGUGGGGAGCAAACAGGAUUAGAAACCCCGGUAGUCC
This 425-nucleotide ribosomal RNA is filed under the name uncultured bacterium. RNAcentral describes it as "partial 16S ribosomal RNA". It matches the Rfam family "Bacterial small subunit ribosomal RNA", at positions 354 to 796 of the family's 1533-position model. The record is from RNAcentral.